CUCUCUCUUCGAAACUCUCGCUUAACUCUCUCAACUGCCUCAGCUCAUUUAAAUUUGGGAUUUUUCAAAAAAUUAUGAAUUUGCUUGUACAUUGGAAAUUCUUGUUUUGAUAAUUGCUCCAAACAUUUGAAUUCGAACCCGUUUGAUCAUUUGCAUUCGAACCCGUUUGAUCGUUUGCAUUCAUGUAAAUGAUUUGAAUUGAAUCUCAUGACUGAAGAAAUUGAAUAAAUGUGACAGGCUUUGAUGUUAUUUUUGAAUAAAUGUCUUGGCUAUUUUAUUUUUUUAUUUUUUUAUUUUUAUUGGUAUUGUGAGUUGGAUUUCUCAUACUAGCUACAUUGUGCUGUUGGUUCUAUUUGAGUUUAUUUGUUAUGGAGAUAUCAUUUUGGGAGGUCUACCUUUCUUAUUGUAUUCAUUUUCCAUUUGUUUCAACUGAACAUCGAAUUAUUGAAGGAAAAAAAACUUUUUGUUGGGAAAGUUUCUUAAAAGGGUUAUCUCUGGAAACUUUAUGAUUGUUCGAUAAAGUUUGAAUAUUUUUUUAAUAGAAAAUGUUUUCUUGAUUGACAUAACAGUGGGAAAUUGUUUCUGCCUUGAGAAACUAUUUCCUAAUAAAAUGUUGAGUAAAACUUUUGAACAAUUGAAAAAUAUCUUGUUUCAAACAAACAUCAAUACCGUUUUUGAAUGUAAAGAAAAUGGUUUCUUCUGGUUAAAGAUAGUGAUUACAUGAAAGUUGUCUUCUCUCUCUCUCCCUUUCUUCCUCUCUCGGAGUGGGGGGUGGGGGAGAGGGUGGGAGGACUAAUAUGAACACAAAUCCUUCAAGUGCAGCCUUUUUUCUUCCUGUUGUGUGUGUGUAAGAAUCAAUGUUUUGAAAGACGAGGCGCUAGGGUGAGGCGUUUUAUGCCUUAUGAGGCGAGGCGUAAGCCUCAAAGCGUUGAAGCGUAAGCCUUUCGGGUAUUGAGUUAUUAUAAUUACAAAAAUAUAAAACAGCUACUGAAUGUAUUGAAUGCCACACUACAAUAUAAAUUAACCAUCAAACUUGUUAUUUUCAAAAUUUCUCUUACUAUUGCUCAAUUCUUUACCAUAUAUGCUUUUGGUUAUAUUAUCUCUCUAAGUCUAGUGCCUUUCUACCUAGUUCGAAUAGAUAAAAGAGUAGAUUAUGGAGGUGGACUGAACUGAUGGUGGAAGGUGGGAGGCAGUUUCUGUUGGUCUGUUUGGGAACUUUGGCUUUUGGGAGAGGGAAGGAAUAAAUGGGUAAACUGGUUUCUUUUGAACAAAACGGUGCGUGUCUAAUGUUCAAACUUAAAACUGAAACGCACAGCUUAACUAAAGGGAAACAAAACAACACAGCAAGUGCAAACGACGUCGUCCGGAAUCAGAUUUUUAAAAUAAAGGAACUCUGUCUUCCUCGCGAGGCUUGCGCCUUUCACAGCGCAUCUGCGUUUAGCGGCCGCCUCGACUUCAAGGCGUACGCCUUUCAUGACAUUUGCUAAACUGAGCUGCGCCUGAGGCGAAUCACCGCUGCCUUGCUCCGAAGCGCGCCUCAACGCGUGCCUAGGCAUGCCUUUGAAAACACUGAACUCGGUGUUCAAGUUUGCAUCUUCACAGUAUAGAAGAAUAUAUAAAGCAAAAUCAAUGGCAAGGCGUGCCAUCGGUGAACAGCUGAUCAUUCCAAAUGAAAACUUGUACAUUCAACAUGCUUCUGUUAAUGUUGUAUUGCCAUCCUUUGAGAGCCUAAUGCCGGUGGGAAGAGCAAGUGUUCUAAAACAGCUACAAAGAAAGGUGGAGUGGGCUUUGAGAGUCGUAAAGCUCUUAAUGACAUUACAAACAAGAUUUUACCCAAGGAAGCUUCAUCAAAGCAAAAGACACUACCUAAGGAAGAUUUUAAUGUAGCUGAAGAAGUUUUUGCAUGAUCACGAAAAAUGUAUCAAAGCAAAGGAGCCGCGAUGAAUAAGUUUUACUUGGACACGGUCCUUCCAGUACAAGGAUGAUCUUGAUAGUCCUCCUUGCUAUCCUGAAAUAGAAGAGAUUCCUGAACCAGAAGAGUUUACCUUUUUUCAGUGGCUCUCUCCUCCAUCUUCUCCACUACGUUGGGAGUCCCCGCCAUUCUCUCCUUUAGCAUUGCCACUUGAGGUGGUAGAAUUUGUGUUGAGGGAAGGAAAUGAUUGAAUAUGCCCCCAUAUGUUCAACCUUUCUUUCCGGAUGAAAUGUAAAUCAGAUUUAGUGUUGUUAUUCUUGAUGUCUCUUUCCACAUCAAAGAUUUUGUAUUCGUUCUCAACUGGAGCUGUUGGGUAAUGGGCGUUGGGUCUUGCUCAUUUAAGAAAGGGCCCUUUUGAACCUAUAUUCUUCACGUUCAAUUCCGUUCUUAAUUGAAUUGCUUCCAGCUAUUUUAAGAUACAACCUUGAUAUUAAAAGUCUAGCUGGGGAAUCAUAUUUCUAUUUUGUUUCGUUUUGAUUGUUUUCUUUCUUGGUCAAUUUUCGUUUUGAUUGUUAAACAUAUGUAUAUGUAUAUGUGGGACAUUUGUUCAAAAAUAUGACAUCAAUGGUAACAAGGCUCGUAAUAUGAGUUAGCUUGUGACA
Molecule: long non-coding RNA, 2574 nt
Organism: Prunus persica (peach)
Lineage: Eukaryota; Viridiplantae; Streptophyta; Magnoliopsida; Rosales; Rosaceae
Exons: 4
Source: RefSeq, a predicted model, not a curated record